AUUGAACGCUGGCGGCAGGCCUAACACAUGCAAGUCGAACGGUAACAGGAAGAAGCUUGCUUCUUUGCUGACGAGUGGCGGACGGGUGAGUAAUGUCUGGGAAACUGCCUGAUGGAGGGGGAUAACUACUGGAAACGGUAGCUAAUACCGCAUAACGUCGCAAGACCAAAGAGGGGGACCUUCGGGCCUCUUGCCAUCGGAUGUGCCCAGAUGGGAUUAGCUAGUAGGUGGGGUAACGGCUCACCUAGGCGACGAUCCCUAGCUGGUCUGAGAGGAUGACCAGCCACACUGGAACUGAGACACGGUCCAGACUCCUACGGGAGGCAGCAGUGGGGAAUAUUGGACAAUGGGCGCAAGCCUGAUGCAGCCAUGCCGCGUGUAUGAAGAAGGCCUUCGGGUUGUAAAGUACUUUCAGCGGGGAGGAAGGGAGUAAAGUUAAUACCUUGGCUGAUUGACGUUACCCGCAGAAGAAGCACCGGCUAACUCCGUG
This 490-nucleotide ribosomal RNA is filed under the name uncultured bacterium. RNAcentral's name for it is "partial 16S ribosomal RNA". It matches the Rfam family "Bacterial small subunit ribosomal RNA", at positions 30 to 507 of the family's 1533-position model. The record is from RNAcentral.